This 237-nucleotide unclassified non-coding RNA is filed under the name Hevea brasiliensis (rubber tree). Lineage: Eukaryota; Viridiplantae; Streptophyta; Magnoliopsida; Malpighiales; Euphorbiaceae. The record is from RNAcentral.
GCCUAGCAGUCCCUCUGGGCUGUUCUUUUCUGAAUUUGGGUUCUUACUCCUGAGAAAUUCCAAUGCCUCUAAUGUUUUAGGAUUAUCUUGAGGCCAUCCAAUGGCACUGAUAUCAUAGCCAUCAAGCACUAUGAUUCUGUAUUCUGAAGCAGGUGAAAAAUCAUAGUAGGCAUUACCAUCAGGACUUGAAAUCUCCAAUAUUGGGAGUAAUUUCUCACGAGGAAGAUUGUAGAGACA